RNAcentral lists this ribosomal RNA (914 nucleotides) under uncultured bacterium. RNAcentral describes it as "bacterial SSU rRNA". It matches the Rfam family "Bacterial small subunit ribosomal RNA", at positions 8 to 916 of the family's 1533-position model. The record is from RNAcentral.
AGAGUUUGAUCCUGGCUCAGAUUGAACGCUGGCGGCAUGCUUUACACAUGCAAGUCGAACGGCAGCGGGGGCUUCGGCCCGCCGGCGAGUGGCGAACGGGUGAGUAAUGCAUCGGAACGUGCCCAGUCGUGGGGGACAACUAGUCGAAAGAUUAGCUAAUACCGCAUACGACCUGAGGGUGAAAGCAGGGGAUCUUCGGACCUUGUGCGAUUGGAGCGGCCGAUGUCAGAUUAGCUAGUUGGUAGGGUAAAGGCCUACCAAGGCGACGAUCUGUAGCGGGUCUGAGAGGAUGAUCCGCCACACUGGGACUGAGACACGGCCCAGACUCCUACGGGAGGCAGCAGUGGGGAAUUUUGGACAAUGGGCGCAAGCCUGAUCCAGCCAUUCCGCGUGAGUGAAGAAGGCCUUCGGGUUGUAAAGCUCUUUCAGUUGGAACGAAACGGUACGCUCUAACAUAGCGUGCUAAUGACGGUACCGACAGAAGAAGCACCGGCUAACUACGUGCCAGCAGCCGCGGUAAUACGUAGGGUGCGAGCGUUAAUCGGAAUUACUGGGCGUAAAGCGUGCGCAGGCGGAUUGUUAAGCAAGACGUGAAAUCCCCGGGCUUAACCUGGGAAUGGCGUUUUGAACUGGCAGUCUAGAGUGUGUCAGAGGGGGGUGGAAUUCCACGUGUAGCAGUGAAAUGCGUAGAUAUGUGGAGGAACACCGAUGGCGAAGGCAGCCCCCUGGGAUAACACUGACGCUCAUGUACGAAGGCGUGGGUAGCAAACAGGAUUAGAUACCCUGGUAGUCCACGCCCUAAACGAUGUCAACUGGUUGUUGGGGGAGUGAAAUCCCUUAGUAACGAAGCUAACGCGUGAAGUUGACCGCCUGGGGAGUACGGUCGCAAGAUUAAAACUCAAAGGAAUUGACGG